CUUUUUUUUCAUUUUCUGAGACCGGAAGUGGUCAUCAGCAAGUGUGGAGCCAAACAGAGUACGGUGCAUAGACUGGAUAUAAUUUUUUUUCGUUAGUUUUCAUGGUCAAAAUGAGAGAUCAGGUGGCCGAUCUUAAAAUAAAUCAAAAUUUAAUUUUUUUAUGGAGCGUUAAAGUUUUGCAAAGCCAGGGGGCGGGGUUACUUGAUUGACAGUCCGGUCUGGAAUGAUUGACAGGUCCUAUGGAGGAGGCAGCAGAGACUCUGCUCUCCUCGUUUGGAUUGACUCUGAUAUGAUCACUGUUUGUUUAUUUAUCCAGUCCCUCCAGGAAUUGGCGAUGUUACGAUGGCGCGAAUUCACGCGAAAUCAACCAAUCACCGCGACCUUGCAAUUUUAACCAAUCACCGCAACUUUACCGCAAUUUUGGCCCGCCUCCCGUGAGUUCCACCAAUCAUAGCAGUCUCCAGCGAAAACGUAAUGCACGUACGUCACCGAAUUCACUUCCUUGUUUAUGGUUUGAAGACGCAAACAUGUCCCAUUCUAAUGUCUCUCAUUUACCAACAAAAAUUACUACUGAAGUCUGUGCAGAACAAUUAAUUCCCUGAUGUUCUUCACCAAAGCGGAAGUAAACAGUUUUACACCCGUGCAAUGUUGUGGUGGAAUACAAAAAAAGAGAAAAAUCAUCGAUUGAUAAACACUUUUUUACCACGAAACACAUCAGGAGAAUGUCUGAAACGAGCGGACCACAGACCAGACAAAUGAACAUGAUGGAAACGGCUGCAUCCAGAUCUGUAGGAGCACUGAGAGGAUGAAGACCAAAGAACUACAGACUCUUCACAACCUGCUCAAACUCUUGGUACAGGACCUCACCACACGGGUCAAGAAGGUUUCCAUCUCAUUUCUACUCUGAAGCUCACCUUCUCCUGCUCAAACUGCUGACAAAUGUUUCUGCUGCUCUAAAGUCUGGUCUCCAGAACUUCCUAAAAACUCUCAAAGUCUCUGCUGCUGCAGGUUGCUUUGUAGAACUGUUGCAGAAAACCUCACUAAACCACAUGGAGGGGCCUCAAGAUAGUCGUCCAAAUGAAACCAUACAAAAACCAAACUAGCACAACCCAAACGCUAAAGUCUCCUGCAGCCUACCAGAGAAGUUCUGAGAACAGAGAAUCAGGACAGAAACUCUUACCUUCUGGACAACCAAUGCUGGUUCUCAAACAAGAAUACAGAAUGUGUCUGACCAAAAACCUCUGAAGACUCACUACAGCCAAGAUAAAGACACAACUCACCUGCACCAAAUCCACUAAUCACUGCACACAUUAUCACCAUGUGCUAACUGCGGCUAAAGAACCACCUUUACCAAGACAACUAUCCAGUACAAAGCCCUAAAACACACCAAAAAACACAUUAAAGACGAUUUUACUGCUGGAAGCUGCAAGCCAACGCCUAAAGAACAAACUAAGCAACGGAGCCAAACCCAGCUCAGUGGUGAAGAGAAACAGAGGAAAUGUUUGUCUGCAGCUAAACAAAGCAGGAAGACACUGAGCUGCUCAGGUGUUCCUGAUAAUACCAAUCAGCCACCUGGACAGCCAAUAGGAACACAGCUUCCUGGAAGUCCAGAGGGCUGGCUUAGUCAAGGAAAUUUAGUUUAAAGUUGAAGCAGAAAGUUAACAAAAAGUUGAAAACCACCUUCUGAUACCUGAAAUCUCUGAGUUUUCACACAAAGAACGCCUGAACAUGUCAAACUGGUUCCAUAGUAGAACCAUCAUUGUAAAAACGUCAUAGUAUGGUGUGUUGCUCAAAAAACAUUACGACCUGGCUGUCUUGGGUCGCUGAGGAGCAACACAAAAACAGGACAAAUGCUGGUUUCCAGGGGGUUAGGAGGAUAUUUAUUUGAAAGAGGAAGUUUACAACAACACGUGUGCAGAAAAUGUCAUCCAAAUUGUGACAAAAACGUCAUAGUUUAGUAUGUUGUCCAAAAUGUAACAAAAAUGUCAUAGUUUAGUAUGUCGUCCAAAAUGUAACAAAAUGUCAUAGUUUAGUAUGUGCUUCAAAAUAUGACAAAAACGUCAUAGUUUAGUAUGUGGUCCAAAAUGUGACAAAAAUGUCAUAGUUUAGUAUGUGGUCCAAAAUGUGACAAAAACUUCGUAAUUUAGUAUGUUGUGCAAAAUGUGACAAAAACGUCAUAGUUUAGUAUGUUGUCGAAGAUGUAAUAGUUUAGUAUGUCGUCCAAAAUGUGACAAAAACGUCAUAGUUUAGUAUGUGGUCCGAAAUGUGACAAAAACGUCAUAGUAUAGUAUGUGGUCCAAAAGGGGAAAAAUGUCAUAGUUUAGUAUGUCGUCCAAAAUGUCGCUAAAACAUCAUAGUUUAGUAUGUCAUCCAAAAUAUAGCAAAUGGGUGCCCAGGUAGCUCAGCUGGUUGAUAGGGUGACUCGUAAACAGGACUCUGUCAGACAUAGGUUCGAUUCCAGCUCAUAGCCCUUUACUGCAGGUCUUCCUCUUAGCUUACGUAUUGGUGAAAGAGUCCAAAAAAUAACUUUUAAAAAAACAUCAUUGGCUGUCUUCUUAAAUGUGGAAAAAAGUCAUAGUAUGUAGUCCAAAAUGUGGACAAAACGUCAGUUUAGUAUGUCGUCCAAAUUGUAUUAAAAAAACGUAAUAGUUUCUAUACUAUUCUAAACUAUGACAUUUCAGUCAACUGAGCAGCCUUGGCGGAGUACUGCACUCUCUGAGUGCUUUUCUAAUUUGUUUGUGUGUUUAUUUGUGGAAGAAUAUAGAAACACAUGAAAACAUUUUACAGCUUUUUUUUUUUAUCUUUCUUAAAUGGUUAGCUUAGCUUAGUUUAGCUUAAAUUAGCAUAAAGACUGGAGCUAUCGUCACUAUCUAAAGAAAAACAGUUUCAUUUAUAGAGAGGCAGCUUUAUACAGAUUUAUUAGUAAUAUGUGAAAUAUAAAUAAUGCUUUAGAGAUGCUUGAGGGCAGAUUUUUGUCCUCUUCUCAAAAGAACCAGGCUAGCUUUUAGUACCCUAUCAUUAGCAUUAGCAAAUGGCUACUAAAAGUGACGGCCAAACAGAUGACUACCAUUAUCAUUGUUAGGUUGUGGUCGUAGCGGUAUUAUUUCACCAGCACAGCCACCAUGAAGUUUUGAUUUUAUUGUAUUUUCUAGCAUGUAUUUUUGGCACUGUUCUUUUUUUCUAUCGGUCUUCAGAGAUGAAAGAUUAUUUAUCACAUCUUGGUUCAUUCAACAGAAGUGAAAUAAAUGGUAACUCUAGCGAAAUCUAAGAGAAAUCCAAGAGAAAAACACGCCUGUUUUCAAAUCCAAAGUCGUAGUUAGUCUGAGGGGCUUUCAAAGACUGAAGGCCAGUGUAUUAAAAAUCAAUCCGGUGUAUCUAUGGAUGUACAGAAACAUAUCACAGUAGUACUUCAGUACUGAGAAAAAGCUGUUUUUAUGACCUAAGGAGAAACUUUAUUGCAAGUGGGUGUUUGCAGUUCAUACACGACGGACAACACAGAUAUUAUCACUGGUGGAUAAUAAAAUAAUAAAAUCUAAAAUAUGUGUAUCAUGUCUGUGUGCUCAGAUUUAACAGUUAUGACUCUAACUCUGGCAAUCCUAGGCUUUAAGGACUUCUUCAUACC
Molecule: long non-coding RNA, 3622 nt
Organism: Amphiprion ocellaris (clown anemonefish)
Lineage: Eukaryota; Metazoa; Chordata; Actinopteri; Pomacentridae
Source: Ensembl